This 332-nucleotide ribosomal RNA is filed under the name uncultured eukaryote. RNAcentral's name for it is "partial 18S ribosomal RNA". It matches the Rfam family "Eukaryotic small subunit ribosomal RNA", at positions 1470 to 1796 of the family's 1831-position model. The record is from RNAcentral.
CCCUUAGAUGUUCUGGGCUGCACACGUGCUACACUGGCAGGUUCAGCGAGCUUCAUGCCCUGAUCUGAAAGGAAUGGGAAAUCUUUUCAAAACCUGCCGUGCUUGGGAUAGAUGUUUGCAAUUAUUCAUCUUCAACGAGGAUUGCCUUGUAAGCGCACGUCAUCAGCGUGCAUUGAAUACGACCCUGUAUUCUGUACACACCGCCCGUCGCUCCUACCGAUUGAAGUUUUCGGUGAGUUGACAGGAGGAUUUUUUGGAAACUGGUUCGCCAGUGGAUUUUAGAUCCAAAUGCCAACGAAUCGAUGGCUUUAGAGGAAGGAGAAGUCGUAACA